CCUACGGGAGGCAGCAGUGGGGAAUUUUGGACAAUGGGCGCAAGCCUGAUCCAGCCAUGCCGCGUGCGGGAAGAAGGCCUUCGGGUUGUAAACCGCUUUUGUCAGGGAAGAAACGCUCUGGGCUAAUACCCUGGGGUAAUGACGGUACCUGAAGAAUAAGCACCGGCUAACUACGUGCCAGCAGCCGCGGUAAUACGUAGGGUGCAAGCGUUAAUCGGAAUUACUGGGCGUAAAGCGUGCGCAGGCGGCUAUGCAAGACAGAUGUGAAAUCCCCGGGCUCAACCUGGGAACUGCAUUUGUGACUGCAUAGCUGGAGUACGGCAGAGGGGGAUGGAAUUCCGCGUGUAGCAGUGAAAUGCGUAGAUAUGCGGAGGAACACCGAUGGCGAAGGCAAUCCCCUGGGCCUGUACUGACGCUCAUGCACGAAAGCGUGGGGAGCAAACAGGAUUAGAUACCCUGGUAGUCCACGCCCUAAACGAUGUCAACUGGUUGUUGGGAGGGUUUCUUCUCAGUAACGUAGCUAACGCGUGAAGUUGACCGCCUGGGGAGUACGGCCGCAAGGUUGAAACUCAAAUGAAUUGACGG
This 585-nucleotide ribosomal RNA is filed under the name uncultured bacterium. RNAcentral's name for it is "bacterial SSU rRNA". It matches the Rfam family "Bacterial small subunit ribosomal RNA", at positions 338 to 916 of the family's 1533-position model. The record is from RNAcentral.